Molecule: transfer RNA, 85 nt
Filed under: Felis catus (domestic cat)
Lineage: Eukaryota; Metazoa; Chordata; Mammalia; Carnivora; Felidae
Also listed under: 2 other names
Rfam family: tRNA
About the family: Transfer RNA (tRNA) molecules are approximately 80 nucleotides in length. Their secondary structure includes four short double-helical elements and three loops (D, anti-codon, and T loops). Further hydrogen bonds mediate the characteristic L-shaped molecular structure. tRNAs have two regions of fundamental functional importance: the anti-codon, which is responsible for specific mRNA codon recognition, and the 3' end, to which the tRNAs corresponding amino acid is attached (by aminoacyl-tRNA synthetases). tRNAs cope with the degeneracy of the genetic code in two manners: having more than one tRNA (with a specific anti-codon) for a particular amino acid; and 'wobble' base-pairing, i.e. permitting non-standard base-pairing at the 3rd anti-codon position.
Source: Rfam by way of RNAcentral
GCUUGGGUGGCUAAGUUGGUUAAGCGUCUGACUUUGGAUCAGUUCAUUAUCUCAUGGUUCAUGAGUUCAAGCCCCGUGUCAGGCU